CGGGUCGGGUUGUCAUGCCAAUGGCACUGCCCGGUAGCUAAAUGCGGAAGAGAUAAGUGCUGAAAGCAUCUAAGCACGAAACUUGCCCCGAGAUGAGUUCUCCCUGAGACUUAAAGUCUCCUGAAGGAACGUUGAAGACGACGACGUUGAUAGGCCGGGUGUGUAAGCGCAGCGAUGCGUUGAGCUAACCGGUACUAAUGAACCGUGAGGCUUAACCUU
Molecule: ribosomal RNA, 219 nt
Filed under: Salmonella enterica
Lineage: Bacteria; Pseudomonadati; Pseudomonadota; Gammaproteobacteria; Enterobacterales; Enterobacteriaceae
Description: partial 23S ribosomal RNA
Rfam family: Bacterial large subunit ribosomal RNA
Source: RNAcentral